AAGCACGAUUUGUAACACGUCGUACUCGUAAUUACGAAUAAUUUCAUCUUAACUUUCGUCGUGCAUUUAUAAUCUAACAUAUCAAUCGAUCUUUAAGAUCAUGAUCUACGAUUGAUGAUAUGCGGUUGAUACGUGGCAUCGUUUUGUGCGUGAGAUAUAAGUCGGAAAAUAAAAUUAAUGUCUCGAACAAACACGCGAUCUGUCGGGUCAUUUCUUUUCCAACGAGUUUUACGAAUAUUAUUUAAGCGAAAUCGUGAUUAAUUUGACGUCUCAAAGUUGUUCACUAUUUUGUGUAGUGCAAACGAGUUAGUUUCGUGACGAGAUGUUUCGUAAUUAUUACGAUAAUCAGUCUCUUUUUAUGUUACGUGAUAUGGAAACAUGGUGGAGUGAAAGAGAGGGAGGGAGAGAGAGAGAGUGAGAGAGAGAGAGACGACGAGUGGACGAAGGAUAGACAUAACGAAUGAAAAAGAAAAAGAGAAAGAGAGAGAGAGAGAGAGACAAGAAAUCGGCCAUACUUUUUUCUCCGACGGUAAUGUAGUUUACGAGUACAUCGGUAAUGAUAAUUCCAAAUGAGUGAAGUCUAUUUUGAUUGAAUUAUUCUAACGAAGCUUAGAAUGCUCAUCGUCAUUACAAGUUUCAACGAAGAUUUGAAAAUGAUCAUUGAUUAGCCAUGCGCGAUUUAUUAACGAAUAAAUGAAGCGUUUUAAACGUUUGAAGUAAAAAUAAAUAUAUCGUGAAGUGGAAAUGGUGUUCGUUCGUCGAAUCAAUUCUGUCGUUGUUUUCACGAUUGAAAUUAAUUUUUAAAAACGUGUAUGUGCUCGAAUCGAUUGCGCGCAAUGCAGUCGUUUAUAAAGUCAAUAUUUCUUCGUAUUAAGUUUUAGUUUUCAUUUAUUGACAGUGUCGCAGUGUCUUUACAUUAUAUUCGAAGAAUAAAGAUCCACGGUAUUAAAUUCGAUAAUCAAUCUUGUGAUCUGUAAAUAAUUAUUGUGCGUUAGAGAUCAGAGUGCAUCUCCCUAGUAGCAGUUGUGAAGGAGUGUUUUGGAGCCAUCAGAGAACUUCU
Vespa crabro (European hornet) is the source of this 1060-nucleotide long non-coding RNA. RefSeq lists it as uncharacterized. The record is from RefSeq and is a predicted model, not a curated record. Lineage: Eukaryota; Metazoa; Arthropoda; Insecta; Hymenoptera; Vespidae. The transcript is spliced from 3 exons.